GGGGAUUUAGCUCAGUGGUAGAGCGCUUACCUAGCAAGCACAAGGCCCUGGGUUCAAUCCCCAGCUCCG
This 69-nucleotide transfer RNA is filed under the name Rattus norvegicus (Norway rat). It matches the Rfam family "tRNA". Rfam says of the family: Transfer RNA (tRNA) molecules are approximately 80 nucleotides in length. Their secondary structure includes four short double-helical elements and three loops (D, anti-codon, and T loops). Further hydrogen bonds mediate the characteristic L-shaped molecular structure. tRNAs have two regions of fundamental functional importance: the anti-codon, which is responsible for specific mRNA codon recognition, and the 3' end, to which the tRNAs corresponding amino acid is attached (by aminoacyl-tRNA synthetases). tRNAs cope with the degeneracy of the genetic code in two manners: having more than one tRNA (with a specific anti-codon) for a particular amino acid; and 'wobble' base-pairing, i.e. permitting non-standard base-pairing at the 3rd anti-codon position. Lineage: Eukaryota; Metazoa; Chordata; Mammalia; Rodentia; Muridae. The record is from Rfam by way of RNAcentral.